This 441-nucleotide ribosomal RNA is filed under the name uncultured bacterium. RNAcentral describes it as "partial 16S ribosomal RNA". It matches the Rfam family "Bacterial small subunit ribosomal RNA", at positions 338 to 795 of the family's 1533-position model. The record is from RNAcentral.
CCUACGGGCGGCAGCAGUGGGGAAUAUUGCGCAAUUGGGGAAACCCUGACGCAGCAACGCCGCGUGAGUGAAGAAGGCCUUCGGGUUGUAAAGCUCUUUAAUCAGGGACGAAGAAUGACGGUACCUGAAGAAUAAGCUCCAGCUAACUACGUGCCAGCAGCCGCGGUAAUCCGUAGGGAGCAAGCGUUAUCAGGAUUUACUGGGUGUAAAGGGCGUGUAGGCGGGCUUGCAAGUCAGAAGUGAAAUCUGGGGGCUUAACCCCCAAACUGCUUUUGAAACUGUGGGUCUGGAGUGAUGGAGAGGCAGGCGGAAUUCCCAGUGUAGCGGUGAAAUGCGUAGAUAUUGGGAGGAACACCAGUGGCGAAGGCAGCAUACCGGCGCCCAACUGACGCUGAAGCACGAAAGCGUGGGUAUCGAACAGGAUUAGAUACCCGAGUAGUC